Molecule: ribosomal RNA, 479 nt
Filed under: uncultured bacterium
Lineage: Bacteria
Description: bacterial SSU rRNA
Rfam family: Bacterial small subunit ribosomal RNA
Source: RNAcentral
GAUGAACGCUAGCGGGAGGCCUAACACAUGCAAGCCGAGCGGUAGAAUCUCUUCGGAGAUUUGAGAGCGGCGUACGGGUGCGGAACACGUGUGCAACCUGCCUUUAUCUGGAGGAUAGCCUUUCGAAAGGAAGAUUAAUACCCCAUAAUAUAAUGAUUGGCAUCAAUUAUUAUUGAAAACUCCGGUGGAUAGAGAUGGGCACGCGCAAGAUUAGAUAGUUGGUGGGGUAACGGCCCACCAAGUCGAUGAUCUUUAGGGGUCCUGAGAGGGAGAUCCCCCACACUGGUACUGAGACACGGACCAGACUCCUACGGGAGGCAGCAGUGAGGAAUAUUGGACAAUGGGUGGAAGCCUGAUCCAGCCAUCCCGCGUGAAGGACGACGGCCCUAUGGGUUGUAAACUUCUUUUGUACAGGGAUAAACCUCCCCUCGUGAGGGGAGCUGAAGGUACUGUACGAAUAAGCACCGGCUAACUCCGUG